Long non-coding RNA from Seriola aureovittata, 2745 nucleotides. RefSeq lists it as uncharacterized. Lineage: Eukaryota; Metazoa; Chordata; Actinopteri; Carangiformes; Carangidae. The transcript is spliced from 3 exons. The record is from RefSeq and is a predicted model, not a curated record.
CAUGAAAUAACAAUAGAAUAGAAACUAAUACUGAGUUUGGAGUCAUUGUGCAGGUGAACAUGUCAUGAUGGUUCUCAGCUCUCAGUCAUGUUCUUUAUUCUGACAGAGACACAAUCAUUCCAACAGAUGUUUUGACUCCUGUCAUCAAUAAUGAAAUGAACUAGAGCUGAAAACUAUCCGACUAACACUGAACCAAACUUAAUAUGAACAAACACGACACACACGUCCGCUGCUCUGCUCUUUACCAGCUCGUCCAGACACGACAGUUCACUGUAAUAACGGGAUCGUUUAGUGACCGUGAUUUACCGACAUUGACAACCCGCUGUCUCUGUAAUAUUACAAGGUUUCUCCUCAUAUAUUAGAUUACAUUAGAUUAACUUUAUUAAUCCCACAACUGGGAAAUAACACCUGGUUUCAUGUUGCUACCCUUUUCCCCUAGCUGGGUCGUAACAUAAAGACUGCCAACAUGCGGUGACUGGAAAGACAGCACCAUGACUGCGAUAUAUGGAGAAACCAACAUGGCUGAAGUGAACUGACACCUGGCUCUGUGAGCAGUCCAGUCAGUAAGUGAAAUACUCAGUGAGUAAAAUUUCCGGGCUGUUGUAGCUUCUUUACUUGCAGAAAUCAACUGCCUGGUACUGGAUGUGAGUCCCACAGCGUCAGAGGUUUUACUUUCUCAGCAAAGUGGUUCCACAAAGGGUGUAUAUCUUGAUGCUUCAUGUGAACAGUGCAACACCUGCUGGCCUGAAAGCAAAAUGGGCAAAUACAAACAUUUGUACGUCACAAUCUGAAUAGUUAUCUACUGAAAUGCGCAUGCGCAUCAGCGCCGACCUGUCCCCGUGUUGUAAUACCACUUUGUGACACUAGACGCUGUGUGAAUCAGUGGCGCGUCAAGUCUGCCCUCAGUCCCACGAAGAAGAACAACUUCCGGCCGCGCUUGAAGUUAGCGCCACAGAAACACAGGAAUGGCUGAACCUCCUAAAAGACGAUAUUCAUCUGCGUCUCGAAGGACCGCUCCCGACAAGAAACCACGUUCAACGGCAAAGAAAAGAAGCAACGCGAGUAAAUCUGGAUGUGACUUUCCGCCGCUGGAGAAGCUCUGAGAGGAAAGAGAUGCGGUUUGAUGCCGAGCUCGCAACUUUCCUGUUAGCCCGGUGAGUAGCAUCAAUGCUAGCUCUUUAGCUAAAAGUAUAAUCAGUGCAACGACUGACAAACAUUUCAGGUGGUGAUAUUGACGUUGUCGACAGAUGUUUUAGCGGUUAGUAGGAUUGUGUCUGUUGCUCUCGGCUGUUAGUGACGUGUGCAGCUAGUGACGUCAGUAACUUCAGGCUCAUCUUGUAACUGACUGUAACGUGAGAUUGUAUGGAGCCAGUAGACCGAGUGAAUACACGUCGAUCUGUUCACCAUGUUGUAACCACUUUACAUUUCUGUUAGGAGAUCAGCCAUGAUUGAAAGUGAACUAGGUCUUUACAUUUCUCAGGAGAUUUCAGCAUCCCUCUGUCUUUAUCAGGACCUGAGCCAGUACAGGUGUAAUACCGCCUCCACCUGUCUCAACAACACCUGAGAGUCCAGACACAGUGAGGAGGGUCCAGGUGACAAAGAAGCUGCUGGUGCUGCUUCUGAAACAGUUGCCUGGGUUACCGAUGUUGGUGUGUUGGCUUUCCAGGAUGGCGGCCGGAUUCAUGACGCUGCAUCUUCGAGGUGGAUCCAGGGAGGUGCCUGCCGUUUCAUUGAGGCAUAGCGGUCCGAGCUGGAGGGGAAGCACAGGAUGCUCGGCCUGACUGUUGCCAAGGUGAUCCAGAGGAUCUCCUGGGAGGAGUGGAGGCUCCACUGUUGGAGGAGGACACAUGGGGCAGAGGAGACGUCCUCCUCAUCCAGGAUCUCCAUGUCACCCUGGACGUCUCUUUGCUGGAUUCUCUCUGCAUCCAGGACACAUGGAGACACAGAGGAGCCGCCUCACCUGCAUUCAGGACCCAGCAGGUGCAGCUGAACACAGAGACUGGUAGACUGACAAAGGGGCGGGGUCAGCCUUCUGGUUUCCACCUUAACCACUUCAUCCCACGUACAUGCGUGUGUCUCAGAGCUUGUGAUUCAGUAUAUUGUGUAUUAUCAUUUCAUGCAAACAUAAAAUUCAUUUUUAUCCAUUUUGACCUUUUUCCUCAAGCCAGUGCCAAGUACUUCCAAGCUCCUGGCAACACCUGCCAGACAGAGCAGGAGGAAGAGCGAGUUGUCUUCCCUCCCAGAGACCAGGAUAAUAAAGAGGUGGAUAAAUCUUAUUUAGUAACAAGUAUAAAUUAUAGUAGAGAUGUAAUAUAAUCCUUCAUAGCUCAGUGAGGACGGUGCAACAGAUUGACUGGAAGCUGUUGCAGCCGUCCAUAAGUGAUGGAGGGAAGGUGCAAAAAGUCCAGGAGCCGUUAUUCAUCAUCAGUCUUAGUGUUAGAAAACGUUUUACACUGUGGUUUCACAGUUUAACGUUAGCACACAUGCUAACUUCAACUACAAUAACAUUACAACUUACUCCUCACAUAUAUGAUGGUUUUUGGUUCUUAAAACCACAAAUAUAUUUUCUUAUGGAUCAACACUUCAAAUAAAACACAGAAGAAGAAGAAAAUAUGGAGCUUUAAAAGAUAAAAUAACAGAUGGCAAUAGAAUAAUAUAUGUACCAUACGUAAUUAAAAGCCAAUGCUAACUGCUAGAUGCUAACUGCUGCUACAUUUUUAUUUCUCCACCUGUUCAAUAAACCAG